This 252-nucleotide ribosomal RNA is filed under the name uncultured bacterium. RNAcentral's name for it is "partial 16S ribosomal RNA". It matches the Rfam family "Bacterial small subunit ribosomal RNA", at positions 524 to 776 of the family's 1533-position model. The record is from RNAcentral.
UACGUAGGGGGCAAGCGUUAUCCGGAUUUACUGGGUGUAAAGGGGGCGCAGACGGCGAUGCAAGUCUGAAGUGAAAGGCGGGGGCCCAACCCCGUCGAGCCGUUGAAACUGUCAGACUUGAGUUGGCGAGAAGUACGCGGAAUGCGCGGUGUAGCGGUGAAAUGCAUAGAUAUCGCGCAGAACUCCGAUUGCGAAGGCAGCGUACCGGCGCCACACUGACGCUGAGGCACGAAAGCGUGGGGAUCGAACAGG